This 821-nucleotide ribosomal RNA is filed under the name Acinetobacter sp. 'SMCC B0121'. Its description in RNAcentral is "bacterial SSU rRNA". It matches the Rfam family "Bacterial small subunit ribosomal RNA", at positions 545 to 1366 of the family's 1533-position model. Lineage: Bacteria; Pseudomonadati; Pseudomonadota; Gammaproteobacteria; Moraxellales; Moraxellaceae. The record is from RNAcentral.
UCGGAUUUACUGGGCGUAAAGCGUGCGUAGGCGGCUUAUUAAGUCGGAUGUGAAAUCCCCGAGCUUAACUUGGGAAUUGCAUNCGAUACUGGUGAGCUAGAGUAUGGGAGAGGAUGGUAGAAUUCCAGGUGUAGCGGUGAAAUGCGUAGAGAUCUGGAGGAAUACCGAUGGCGAAGGCAGCCAUCUGGCCUAAUACUGACGCUGAGGUACGAAAGCAUGGGGAGCAAACAGGAUUAGAUACCCUGGUAGUCCAUGCCGUAAACGAUGUCUACUAGCCGUUGGGGCCUUUGAGGCUUUAGUGGCGCAGCUAACGCGAUAAGUAGACCGCCUGGGGAGUACGGCCGCAAGACUAAAACUCAAAUGAAUUGACGGGGGCCCCCACAAGCGGUGGAGCAUGUGGUUUAAUUCGAUGCAACGCGAAGAACCUUACCUGGCCUUGACAUACUAGAAACUUUCCAGAGAUGGAUUGGUGCCUUCGGGAAUCUAGAUACAGGUGCUGCAUGNCUGUCGUCAGCUCGUGUCGUGAGAUGUUGGGUUAAGUCCCGCAACGAGCGCAACCCUUUUCCUUACUUGCCAGCAUUUCGGAUGGGAACUUUAAGGAUACUGCCAGUGACAAACUGGAGGAAGGCGGGGACGACGUCAAGUCAUCAUGGCCCUUACGGCCAGGGCUACACACGUGCUACAAUGGUCGGUACAAAGGGUUGCUACACAGCGAUGUGAUGCUAAUCUCACAAAGCCGAUCGUAGUCCGGAUUGGAGUCUGCAACUCGACUCCAUGAAGUCGGAAUCGCUAGUAAUCGCGGAUCAGAAUGCCGCGGUGAA